Molecule: ribosomal RNA, 404 nt
Filed under: uncultured bacterium
Lineage: Bacteria
Description: partial 16S ribosomal RNA
Rfam family: Bacterial small subunit ribosomal RNA
Source: RNAcentral
GAUGAACGCUGACAGAAUGCUUAACACAUGCAAGUCAACUGUGGCGGACGGGUGAGUAACGCGUAAAGAACUUGCCUCACAGCUAGGGCCACCAUUUGGAAACGAAUGCUAAUACCUGAUACUGUGAGAGAGCUUUGCGUCCCAUUAGCUAGUUGGAGAGGUAACGGCUCACCAAGGCGAUGAUGGGUAGCCGGCCUGAGAGGGUGAUCGGCCACAAGGGGACUGAGACACGGCCCUGACUCAGACGGGAGGAAGGAGUGGGGAAUAUUGGGAGAUGGACCAAAGUCUGAUCAAGCAAUUCGGUGUGUACGAUGAAGUUUUCGGAAUGUAAAGUGCUUUCAGUUGGGAAGCGGUACCAACAGAAGAAGUGACGGCUAAAUACGUGCCAGCAGCCGCGGUAAUAC